GAGACAGUGAGAGAGAGCAUGAAUGAGGAGAAGGUAAGAGAGAGAAGCAGACUCCCCAUGGAGCUGGGAGUCCGAUGCGGGACUCGAUCCCAGGACUCCAGGAUCAUGACCUGAGCCGAAGGCAGUCGUCCAACCAACUGAGCCACCCAGGCAUCCUUCCUCCGUGUUUUUUGCAUGAUAUAAAAAGGUUGGAAGCAGAAAUGCCAAGAACUUAACUCGGGAUCUGAACCUCACCUGUCUUUGAGUGGUGUGUGUGUUUGUGCAUGUGUGUAUGCGUGUGUUAGAGGGAGUUUCAGUAGAUUGUAAUGGAUAUAGGCCCACCUGAAGUGGAAAAGGGGACUUGUGAGAGUUUCUACUGAGACAGAGAAGAAAGGGGUUUUCCUAGGCCCUGGUGGUCCAACGUAGAGCAAAACAUGCUUUCAUUUCUCAAGAAGCCUUAUGGGUCCCAGAAACUGUAGUUGAAGAAGUCGGUGACUGUUAGGUGUGAGAAGUAAUUGGCAGUGUGGACAGAUAUAGAAAUAAUACUCUAGGGGUAUGUGUGUGUGUGUGAGUGCAAAUACGCACAUAUGCAGGUGUGUAUUUGUAUAUGUGCUAUAAAAAUUAGGGAAGAACCAGCCUGGAUGACACCUGACUAAGUCGUAGUGGAGUCAGUUACCUAAGGCAGUGAAGGCUGGGAGGCAGAGGGAGG
Molecule: long non-coding RNA, 688 nt
Filed under: Mustela putorius furo (domestic ferret)
Lineage: Eukaryota; Metazoa; Chordata; Mammalia; Carnivora; Mustelidae
Description: lncRNA (ENSMPUG00000031570.1)
Source: RNAcentral